GUUUCUUUUUGUUUGCUUGUUUCUUUUCAGUUUGUGUGGGAAGCUAAUUUGCAUUCAAAGUUCCAGUUCAAGAUCAUUUGAAAGGCAGGUUUUCCUCUUAUACAGAAUUAAAUAUGCAAUGGACCUUUUCUUAACAAACAGGCUGAGAGUCUGUAAUAUACAGAUCUCCAGAUUUCAUUUAGGAGGCAGUUGCAUAUAAAAGAGAAAAAAAUGAAAUUUGAACCAUUCUUUCUAUGUAACUAUAUAGAAUAUAUAUAUAUAUGUGGUUUUUUUUUUCAGGAAAAAAAAAAAAGCAGAGGAACUGGAGGUAAAUGUGGAGACCUCUUCUACUUCAUUUCUGCAUAUCAGAAGAGACUGAGUUUGAAGGAGCCAGCGCACCCCCCAUGAGGAAGGGGACGAAUUGCAGCCCAGAUUAUUAUGGGUGCAGGGCUGUCUAUAGAGCACCACUGAAGACUCAGCAACCUUCUGCUCAGGCGUGGAUGUCCUCUCUGGCUUGAGUACAAAAUUAUAUCACUGACCUGUGCCUCAAGAGAAGUUCAGAGGAAAUAUUUCUGCUCUGCUUUUCUACCUUCCUCCCCAUUUCUCUGUCCCUUCCCAUUAAUUGUCCCUUUCCAUUCCCUCCUUAUCAUGCUUUUAUCAAUAAUUAAAAUAUUUAUAGUGAAGCACAAACACUGAAGUAAAGUCAACAGGCAUCUUUAAACCAAUAGCACUACUCUCCCUUGAGUCACCUUGGUUCAGGCACCUGUUACCAUAUGUAAAGAUACUUUACAAGCACAAAGAGAGUGCAGAAGUUAUUGGGUAACACAAACAACAGGUGGCCAGGACCGACACAGUGCCAUACUAAGCACUAACAUGUUCCUCAGGCCUUACAAAAGACUUCUGCAAGUAGCUGUCAGUCAGAAUGAAUGAGCCUCCCCUGCAGCCCUGAGCAGGCUGAGACUUGGUCUUGUUGAAUUACCCUCAUUUGGUUCCCUUUUGGGAUUUUUUUUAACCUUUUUUACCUUUUUUUGUUUGUUUGUUUGUUAGACUUAUUCUUGACAAGGUUUUUAUACAGAAUCCUUGAGUUGGUAACAGAGCCAGCAGCUGCCUGACUUCCUAAUCAUUGAGUGGCUCUAGCUCCAGCACUUUCUAACACUUUACCUGUUUUCUUAGGCUGAUCUCAGGUCCCACAACAGUAUUGUUUUAACAACAAGUUUAGUCAGAACAGCUGCUUUCCUGGGCCCAGAGUUACAUACAUACCAUGAUUUGGCCCCUUUCUUACAUUACAUGACCUACUUCCAAACAUUUGGAAGGCAAACUAAGUGUUAGGAUUGAUCCUCUCCUAUAGGACAUUCAAACUGCUUUUGUACCUGCUGGAGAGAGGAGACACCCCUGGGAGGAGGAGUAGGUGGUCAGGACAGUACAUAGCUGUCUCAGUAGUUUUCAAGCGUCAUGGAUAGCACAUAUUCUGCCAUCUUUGGACUGUAUUAUGGCUUUUUUUUUUGGGGGGGCAUCUAC
Molecule: long non-coding RNA, 1497 nt
Filed under: Anas platyrhynchos platyrhynchos (common mallard)
Lineage: Eukaryota; Metazoa; Chordata; Aves; Anseriformes; Anatidae
Description: lncRNA (ENSAPLG00000017303.1)
Source: RNAcentral